Molecule: small RNA, 655 nt
Filed under: Agathobaculum butyriciproducens
Lineage: Bacteria; Bacillati; Bacillota; Clostridia; Eubacteriales; Butyricicoccaceae
Source: RNAcentral
AACAGAUAAGUGACGUAGUAUCCUAGUCAGUUCAUGCGAUUCCCAAGACGGGCCUAAAAAUCCGUAGACGGGCAUAUCGAUGAAGUCUCUGGUGUUUGCUUCUUACGCCCAGUUUGGGGUGGAUGCUGGAGGUUAAGGCUUGAGGGCGCGCUUCAAUGGCAUGAAGUACCGACCUCCUGCCGUGGAGACCCGUGACUGUCGGAUGCCUAUAGCAUUUCACAAGAGAUUGAUGGACGUCCAACGGCACGGGAUGAAACCUGCAAUGCGGUGCAGCGGAAGUUACAAAGGAUUGAUCACCGACGUAAGGACCAAAGUGCUGUGUGCAGUGUAGCCUGCCUUGAGUGGCCAUGGUGAAUAAGGUAUCCGCCUGCGGUUUCCCGGCCAGGAAUGCCGCGGGAAUUGACUUUUGAAACCAUGUCUGCAAAAGAGGCUAAGAAUCGUUUUGACUGUAGUGGAAAUCACCUAGGCUAUUCUAACGAGGCAGACCGUGGAUUGCAGUGCGGACUCAGUGGCAAUUCGGUCCCGAACGUGGUAACAUCUCGGCACGGACUUUAAUGGGAAACCCCCUUGACGGCGACGCGAGGCAGUCCGCGGGGAAAACCAACCGAACCUCAAGCCGCAAGAUUUACUCGGUCUGCCGUCACUUACCUUAAUA